GGAUAGUGCCAUUUUAAUGGCAUAUUUUUAACAUGUUUUAUAAUAUUUGUUGAUAGGUGCAAUCUUCAGUUUUUUUUCAUAGUUUGAGAAUAGUGUUGUUGCACAGUUCUUGCUUGUUUUAAUGAGUAUUUUAAUGGAUCGGUGGUCUUUCUUUAUUAAGUUCUUUUUAAUAUUUUUAACCGGGAGAAAAACGAUGGUACAUAGCGGAUAUAAAUAAAUAAAGUUAUUCUUUCAUGAUUGUUAAUACAUCCUUAACCCAUGCACAUACAUCAGUUAUAUUUACACAUAAUGAACUAGGCUGAGACAAAGGGGGAACCCAGGCUGAUUGGUCAGUAUUUCCUGAAAUACAGAUAUUAUGUCGUAGUUGUACAACUUUGUCUCCAAGGCUUGUUCUCGCUGUCCUAAAUUAUCAUCAAGACGAAAAAAGCUAGAGUCGAAGUUGCCAUAUAAAAAGUAAUACGGGAUUUAUUAUUGUCGUAUUAAUAAUAAUACGGCAUUUAUUAUCCCGUGUUAGUUAGAGUACCGGUUCUUAUUUUGUCGCAUCCAUAUGAAUACGGAUUUCAUUAUGCGGUAUAAGUGAAAAUACGGAAUUGGGUAUCCCGUAUUUGUGAGAAAGCGUGUAGUCCCUUAACUUCUGUAUGCAUUAGGAUAUGCUCGUAUACGCCAGUAUUCACAUUUGCUUUAAUACGGGAAAAUAGUCACUUCCUUAUUUUCAGAGUCCCAAUACGUGAUACACGGUAAUCCACGUAGUGAAUUUUUUUUUCUCCGCGUGGUAAAUUCAUGAUGGCGGCGACGAACUUAUGAGUUUUACUGUGCUAAAAAAAAAAAAUCUUUUUUUAAGCCUUUGCGAUAGAGAUCUCUGUCAGAAUACAUUUUAUUUUAAUAGGGUAGGCCUUGGACCAUUUACAAAAUCAAAAUUGACUUGUUGGAUCGCAUGCUUUCUUCUUGUAUAGCAGCAAAAAAGGGGUGUGUGUUUUGACUAUCUAGAAUUGGCUGCUAAUUAAAGAAGACGAUUUCUCCUUCUGUACGCAAAGUUAUGCUUCAAAAAUUACAUUUUCUUAAAGGUGAUGGAUUGUUGUACCAGACUGCAUUUAAGGACGUAACUUCUGGGCAUUGGGGUUGAUCCUUGUGAGGUGCUCUCGAAGCAUGGCCUCGACACGUCUGCUUGCUGGCUUCAUGUGUUGAUCAUGUUUUGUUGUGUAGCUGGCAAUAAACAAACAUCCAACAGGUAUAUUUA
This is a long non-coding RNA of Hydractinia symbiolongicarpus, 1237 nucleotides long. RefSeq lists it as uncharacterized. NCBI's taxonomy places the organism in Eukaryota, Metazoa, Cnidaria, Hydrozoa, Anthoathecata, Hydractiniidae. The record is from RefSeq and is a predicted model, not a curated record. The transcript has 3 exons.